This 495-nucleotide ribosomal RNA is filed under the name uncultured bacterium. RNAcentral describes it as "partial 16S ribosomal RNA". It matches the Rfam family "Bacterial small subunit ribosomal RNA", at positions 28 to 507 of the family's 1533-position model. The record is from RNAcentral.
GACGAACGCUGGCGGCGUGCCUAAUACAUGCAAGUAGAACGCUGAAGGAGGAGCUUGCUUCUCUGGAUGAGUUGCGAACGGGUGAGUAACGCGUAGGUAACCUGCCUGGUAGCGGGGGAUAACUAUUGGAAACGAUAGCUAAUACCGCAUAAUAUUGACUAUUGCAUGAUAGUCAGUUGAAAGGUGCAACUGCACCACUACCAGAUGGACCUGCGUUGUAUUAGCUAGUUGGUGGGGUAACGGCUCACCAAGGCGACGAUACAUAGCCGACCUGAGAGGGUGAUCGGCCACCCUGGGACUGAGACACGGCCCAGACUCCUACGGGAGGCAGCAGUAGGGAAUCUUCGGCAAUGGACGGAAGUCUGACCGAGCAACGCCGCGUGAGUGAAGAAGGUUUUCGGAUCGUAAAGCUCUGUUGUAAGAGAAGAACGAGUGUGAGAGUGGAAAGCUCACACUGUGACGGUAUCUUACCAGAAAGGGACGGCUAACUACGUG